GGGGUUGUAGCUCAGUAGUAGAGCACUUGCCUAGCAUGUGUGAGGCACUGGGUUCGAUCCCCAGUACCA
This 69-nucleotide transfer RNA is filed under the name Ictidomys tridecemlineatus (thirteen-lined ground squirrel). RNAcentral describes it as "Spermophilus tridecemlineatus (thirteen-lined ground squirrel) tRNA". It matches the Rfam family "tRNA". From Rfam's summary of the family: Transfer RNA (tRNA) molecules are approximately 80 nucleotides in length. Lineage: Eukaryota; Metazoa; Chordata; Mammalia; Rodentia; Sciuridae. The record is from Rfam by way of RNAcentral. RNAcentral also lists the same sequence under 1 other name.